UUGGGGGUUUGGUAACAUUCGAGCUUAUUUUUAACUGAUAAAAAUUGGAAGUAAGCCAAGAUCAACAACUCCCGCGCCCUUCUGCCAUCCCCACGUCCAGGCGCGUGGAAACGGGCGCCGCACAGGGGACCUGGCGUCCGGUCUGGGUGGAGCCGAGGCUGGGCCUGUGGGUGGGGUGGUGCACACGGAGCCUCGGGGGGCCCUCACCUUUCACAGCCCCCCUGGAGCGGAGAGCAGCGGGCUGUGCACGUGCAUGUCACUGUUGAAGAACGAAGUGCAUGUGGCUAAUGGGAAUACGGGGUGCUGUGAACCGAAUUCAGCAGGCAUUUCUCCAGCAGCUGCUGUGUGCGGGUGGCACCUGGCGCAGGUUGUUCCACCACCUCAGCGGAGCUUUUGGACGUAGGAGACGGGGAUCCCAGCGUCUUGGGGCAGAACGUCGUCAACCUGCAACUCCAGCAGAGAGGCACCGCCCAUCUCUGAGCCUGGGCCGGGAAAGGUUUUCCGAAAGAGUGGAGUUGGGUUGACUUGCAUCCCACCGUGGACCCUGCAGAGAGCACUUGCGGAAGACUGUGUCCUGGCGGUGGUUGUCUCAGUGCCGUUUAUUGUGAAGACCCCUCAUGCCUCAGAGCCAUACGUUAUUCGAGAAGUGGUUUUCCUGGUCGAUUUACUUUUUGGGAAGAAUUGCUUAGAUCUCGGACUUGGUUGUGGACAGGCGUGCACCCCGCCUCUGUGUUUUUAUCUGCAUGGCUGCCAAAUGUCAGCUCUUCGGGUAAAAUAUGGAGCUUAAAUUAUAAUUUGUGCUAAACAAUUGUUUUGGAAAUAAUUGCUAUCUCUAGGAAAAUCUCCUUCACGGGAUCGGAUUUAAAAGCUGUAAGUCAGUAGUAGCGGGGGCAAAACUGGCCACGCAUUUUCAAGGCAGAGUCAUAUAUACAAAUACAGACAUUUGUUUGCAGAGUACAAAUGCCUUGAAUAUUCAGAGCAAAUAAGUCCUGAUCGGGAAAAUAAAGGUAUUUGGAUGUGGCU
This is a long non-coding RNA of Choloepus didactylus (southern two-toed sloth), 1023 nucleotides long. RefSeq lists it as uncharacterized. The transcript has 2 exons. Lineage: Eukaryota; Metazoa; Chordata; Mammalia; Pilosa; Megalonychidae. The record is from RefSeq and is a predicted model, not a curated record.